This 3704-nucleotide long non-coding RNA is filed under the name Marmota monax (woodchuck). Lineage: Eukaryota; Metazoa; Chordata; Mammalia; Rodentia; Sciuridae. The record is from RNAcentral.
CAUUUACAACAUCAUUAAAUAUUUUUGUGUUUUAAGUAUACUUUCUGAAUGAGUAUGCAGUUUUACAAAUGGCCUAUCAAAUAAUAUAAAUAUUUCCCAGUACACUAUAUAUUUGAUAACUGGUAACAUCGGCAUUUAAAAGUGUACCAGUAUUAGUGCUGUGGAUUAUGUUCUUUAAAUAAAUGUUUUUCUUUGUGGUCAUAUUUUUCUUUUAAUUAGCACUAAUGAACCCAUGGAUCUGACUUUAUUUCUGCAAUUGAUAAAAGUUCCUCCAUUUAAUUUCAGCGCCGAUCUGUUCCUUUGGUGCAAAACUACAGAUUAAAAUAAGCCAUUUGUACUAACUAUAGUUAUUUCUAUAAAAUGGUAUAAUUUAUUCCUUAAUCACAUCAUCAUCCCACGGGAUUGCAUUCAGGGCAUGGAUGUUAUGGACGCACCCUACUUCCCUGUCCCCUGAUUUUCAUCUGCCUCUGUAGGACUCACCUAUGUAGAUACCUCAGUAGCACAGGAAGAAGAGGGGCUGAAGCAGGAGAGAUGGGAAAACAGGAUAUGGGGCUUUGUGUAGAAAACUACACACCCAUGGAAGGUGAGGGGUACUAUUGUUAAUCUACAUCCUGAAGGCUGUAGCUGCUGUUAAGGACAAUGUGUAUGUUUAGUCCGCACGUUAGAUGGAAUCUGAAGAGCAAAAAUCUAUACAAACUCAAAAGCAAAAGUGAGUGUAUAAGUAGGAAAUAUUUUUUGUAAGUCUUUCAGAACUAUGUUCUGUUAUGAUCUCUUCUAGGAUUUUGCCUCAUUAUAGAAUGCAUUAAAGUAAGUUGUCACAUAUACAAGACCAUCCCCUGUCAAAAACUUUGUCCCAUAUGAGAAAAAACAUAAUGCAAUUUGCCAGUUAUUUACCCUUUACACUAACUGUAACAUAGGGAUCGAUGCACUGUCCAGCAUCUUUCAGACCAAUUUUCUCAAUCCUGAUAGUGAGUAAUGUCAUUCCCGGUUCUGAUGGCAACCUUGGUAAUAAAGUACCUGGCAACAGAGAAACCUCAAUAAAAGUUAGCUCCACCAAUAAUUCAGAGUAAAUACUUUGACAAACAGAAGAUAUAGCCUACCUCUUAAGAACUAGCUAGGCAUUAUGUAUUUUUAUUUCCAAAAUUCAUGAACAUCUGAUGUUAUACUUUUUUAGAAAAAUAUUUAAUUUUACACAUAAUAUAUCUGCAUUUCCCAAGCAUACAAUCACCUUUAAGCAGAAAAUAAUAAUUUCUAUAAUAAUAGUGUAUAGUAUGUAUAAUAAAAGUUUGUUAAAACAUCACUUGAGGAAGACCAAUUAUACAUAAUAGUAUAAUACGCUCACAUAAUAUUUAUAUUCCAUAUGUACUUCUAUAUUAUACUCAGCAUCUUAAUAUGAAGUGGUAGAACAAAGACAAGAAAAGCUUUUAAAAUACUUGUUAUACUGUCCUAAAUCUGAGACAUUUAAUAUCAGAGUUGAUCAAUACAUUCUUUCCUUUAGUUACUCCUAAUAAAGAAAAUAAUUUACAAUUUGAUAUUUAUGUUUCAAUUUAACUAUAUAGUCUAACUUCUAUUCUUCAUUCUAUUUUGUAUGAUUUAUUCUCUCAGAAAUUAGUACUAUACAGACUGCCAUAUAAAAGGGCCAUUUGUAUAACUGAAAAUUUUCCCCAAAACCAACUAAAAAUUUUAAAACUAAAAACCCACCCAGAACAACAUGACAACAUUCACCCACCAAGAACAUAUGAAGGAAGAAAUCAACUGUUCAGUAUGUUCCCUUUUUUGAAACUACCAAUAGAGAACAGAUGCAAAUAAGCUGAUUUUAAUCAAGUAUGUAUACAGAACCUCAAAAUACACUUAACAAAAGAUUUUGGUUGAUGUUUUUCAAGUUUCUAUUCAACAAUGUGUUAUGCUACUUUUAAUGAUGAGUUAUUUGAAAUACAUGAAGCAAUCAACACACUACAUUUGAAAAUACACAUUUGAUUGAUGGCAAAUAUGGCUUGAGGAAAUUUUGGGAGGUGAUGGGAAUGUUCUGAACUUGUGUAGGGAUGACAGAUGCAAAACUCUAUAGAGGUGUCAAAAAAUCAAUGAAUUUUAUACUUACAGAAGGGAAAUGUUAUGAUAUGCAAAUUAUACCUCAACAGUGCUGUUAAAAAUGUAUUACUUUUAAUUUAAACAAAUAUGAAGACAAUACAGACAAAUGCAAGAAUGGGAAGGCCUGGAGGCUGCAUUCCACUGUUGCAUUAACAAACCUAAAUGGGCUCAGGCUGAUAUCAUUAAAUAUAUACAUAAUACCUUUUAUGCAUCUUCUUUGAUUGACAAAUUAGGGUACUUUUAGAAGAGGGGCUUGUACCUGGACAUCUGGGAUGAACUUCAGAGAGUUAAGAAACACCUCUGAAAUUUUAUGAAAAAUGUGAAUAUGUAUACAUUUAUAUUUAUAUACAUACAUAUUCACAUGUAUGUAUAUCAUAUAUGAAUUUUUCUGCAGAAAAGUUCAUUGUAUUAAGUAGUACAUGGCUGUAUAAAUAUGCUACAGUUUAUGUACACAUUCUUGUGUUGAUAGAUAUUUGAAUUACUUCAAGUGUUUGGAUAUAGUUAACAAGGCUAUUAUAAAUACUCUUCUGAACAUCUUCUGGUGCCCAUAAGCACCCAUUUCUGAAACAGAGGAAUCACUAAGUCACCUGGCAUGUUACCUCCAUACCUACUAUGUAACGACAAUCCAUUUCCCAAGGUGGUUGUGCCAAUUUUUUUUCCUAGCCCAAGUGCAGUAGUGUUCCCAUUGCUCCACAUCCUCACUAGGUACUGUUUUCUCAGAUUCUUCAUGUUAGCCAAUUUUGGUAUAAAGAGAUCAAUCAUUUUAAUCUGCAUUCCUCUGAAGAUUAAUAAGGUUGAGCACCUUUUUGAAUAAAUCAAAUAUAUGAUUUCCUCUUUUCUGAAGUGUGUUCAAUUAUUUUGCUCGAUUUUUUAUUGAGAUGUCUAUCUUAUUGAGCUGUAGGAGGUCUCUAUUAUUUUGCUGGACAAAUGUUUUACAAGUAGCUUCUUAGCAGUUUUCCUUUAUAAAGACUUUUUGUUGAAGUAGAGCAUAUACAUUUUAAAAUGUACAAAUUGGAGAUCCGGGCUGACUGAUCCAUGCGGCCCGCCACACGGCUACAGACGGCGGGGCACCACCAAGAAGCGACCAGCAAGCAGGGAGAAACGUUGCUGCAGAUUCUGUGGAAUCCUGCCGGCUGAGCCCCCACUAAGCCCCGGGCUGAGUUCCGGAUUUCAGACGGGGAAGGAAGUGGUACAGUUCUAUCCCCCACAACGGAAACUCCACCAAGCUGGGAAUGGAUCCACCAUUUGACCCAGCUAUCGCCCUUCUCGGACUACUCCCUGAGGAUCUUAAAAGAGCGUACUAUAGGGAUACUGCCACAUCAGUGAUCAUAGCGGCACAAUUCACAAUAGCUAGACUGUGGAACCAACCUAGAUGUCCUUCAAUAGAUGAAUGGAUAAAAAAAAUGUGGCAUUUAUACACAAUGGAGUAUUACUCUGCACUAAAAAAUGACAAAAUCGUGGCAUUUGCAGGGAAAUGGAUGGCAUUAGAGCAGAUUAUGCUAAGUGAAGCUAGCCAAUCCCUAAAAAAAUAAAUGCCAAAUGUCUUCUUUGAUAUAAGGAGGGCAACUCAGAACAGAGCAGGGAGGAAGAGCAUGAGAAGAAGAUUACCAUUAAAC